RNAcentral lists this ribosomal RNA (468 nucleotides) under uncultured bacterium. RNAcentral describes it as "partial 16S ribosomal RNA". It matches the Rfam family "Bacterial small subunit ribosomal RNA", at positions 28 to 507 of the family's 1533-position model. The record is from RNAcentral.
GACGAACGCUGGCGGCGUGCUUAACACAUGCAAGUCGAACGGAAAGGCCCUGCUUUUGUGGGGUGCUCGAGUGGCGAACGGGUGAGUAACACGUGAGUAACCUGCCCUUGACUUUGGGAUAACUUCAGGAAACUGGGGCUAAUACCGGAUAGGAGCUCCUGCUGCAUGGUGGGGGUUGGAAAGUUUCGGCGGUUGGGUAUGGACUCGCGGCUUAUCAGCUUGUUGGUGGGGUAGUGGCUUACUAAGGCUUUGACGGGUAGCCGGCCUGAGAGGGUGACCGGCCACAUUGGGACUGAAAUACGGCCCAGACUCCUACGGGAGGCAGCAGUGGGGAAUAUGGCACAAUGGGCGGAAGCCUGAUGAAGCAACGCCGCGUGCGGGAUGACGGCCUUCGGGUUGUAAACCGCUUUCGCCUGUGACGAAGCGUGAGUGACGGUAAUGGGUAAAGAAGCACCGGCUAACUACGUG